UGGUCAUGGCGAGCCGAUCCUCUCUCAUCGUCAAUCUUGCAUUCUAACAGCGGCAGAGUGGAUUUUCCAAUUGUGGGUUCUUCUGCACGUCGAUAUUUUCUUUACGAUUCUUCAUCUGGGAGUCUGUUGAUGGUGACUUAAGGUUUUAGUAAUGCAGUGCGUUAUUGCCGAUGACGCAAGUGUUUUGAUCGGUACUAUGGUUAGUCUGUAAAGUUAGAAAAGGUUGACAAGGGGUUCAUGCUAAUCUCGAUCGCCGAAUUCGACUAUUACUGACACUGCCACCAUUCUUUUCAAGACUUGGACGAGUUUCGAAGCUUGGGUAGUGAUAUCGUGACAGACAGGACCAAGUUUUGUUAGCUGAGGUAUCCAUCACCUUCUUGCUUGAGUGUUAACGUUGUGGUUUCUGUGGUUGUUGUGUUGAGCAUUGGAAGCUACUGGAUGCAUUCUCGUUGCCACGCUACAGAAGAUGGAGUUGUGAGUUGUUCAAUUUGAGGGUUCGUGCAUACUUUCCGUCUUGUGUUGAGUCUUAAGCAACGAUUGGAUGAGGUUUUCCGAAGGUGUGUGUGAUUGUAGGCCAUGGAGAAUCCCUUGAACUCUUCUGAAGCGCAUUUUUUUCCUCCACGCAUAGAACUUGACCUUGCGUCUGUUCUUCAUGUUGAACGAGAAUUCUUCUAGCAUGCUUGAGAUGCAAUUCAGACAUCACGAUGAGUAUGAAGGGUCUUCUAAGGAGGAUCAACAUGUGGUUGUCAUGUGGGAGCUUCAAUCGAUGUUAGCUGAGCUUUCCAUGGCUCUACGACUCGGUUAUGAUCCAACUUAAGCUGCUGUCCAAGCUGUAUAUGACUCUUCUCCUUUCCUUUUUAUUUGUCUGUUUUUGUUUUUUCAAGUGUGCUGUUUCAUUGUAAAGUAAACAGUAGAACAGAAUGAUCAAGUUGGUAGCAACAUGCAUACAGCUAUCGUUCUUUAUCAAAUUGGGCUUGCAGACUUGAAAAGUGUUGAGGGCAAUACUACAACGAAUAUUGGUUGCAACGAAUUGAUUAGGUCACAUUCUUGUAUCUACGACAUAUGAUUUUCUCAUCAAAGCUCAACAAGUAAGUAAAUUAUUGUUUUUGAGUCGGGUGCAGAACUUGAUAGAUUAUAUUAUUAUUCAACAGUAUUAGAACAGUAAUAGUUUAAUAGCAAACAGCCACAACGUUAUAUUUUAUAGCAUUGCAAUGUUAUAACGAGAUAUCUCCUAAUCAUGAAAAAUCAAAUCUGUUCUGAAAGGUAAAUAAACACUAGAUGGGAGAGUUGAUAAAAUA
This is a non-coding RNA of Physcomitrium patens, 1298 nucleotides long. The record is from RefSeq and is a predicted model, not a curated record. NCBI's taxonomy places the organism in Eukaryota, Viridiplantae, Streptophyta, Bryopsida, Funariales, Funariaceae.